This 397-nucleotide ribosomal RNA is filed under the name uncultured bacterium. Its description in RNAcentral is "partial 16S ribosomal RNA". It matches the Rfam family "Bacterial small subunit ribosomal RNA", at positions 523 to 918 of the family's 1533-position model. The record is from RNAcentral.
AUACGUAGGUGGCAAGCGUUGUCCGGAAUUAUUGGGCGUAAAGCGCGCGCAGGCGGUCCUUUAAGUCUGAUGUGAAAGCCCACGGCUCAACCGUGGAGGGUCAUUGGAAACUGGGGGACUUGAGUGCAGAAGAGGAAAGUGGAAUUCCAAGUGUAGCGGUGAAAUGCGUAGAGAUUUGGAGGAACACCAGUGGCGAAGGCGACUGUCUGGUCUGUAACUGACGCUGAGGCGCGAAAGCGUGGGGAGCAAACAGGAUUAGAUACCCUGGUAGUCCACGCCGUAAACGAUGAGUGCUAAGUGUUAGGGGGUUUCCGCCCCUUAGUGCUGCAGCUAACGCAUUAAGCACUCCGCCUGGGGGGUACGGUCGCAAGACUGAAACUCAAAGGAAUUGACGGGG